UCCAGAAAAACGCAAAAAAAAAAAAUCGAGGAAAAAACUGAAAGCUGUUGACUGGACAGCGGAGGCAAUGAUUUAGUGGCCUAUAAAAGGCCACUUCCCUGACCUAAAACCCCAACCAAUCUUAAAAAGGGGAAGCCCCCGAUGGAAGUCGUAAAAGUUUUCGGCAUGAGUAUAUCGUGUCAGUUGUCGUGUCAUGUCAUGACCUCCUGGAACAUUUUAUGGCCGCUCCGGAAACGAGAAAAACGGGUGACAGCAAUUCAAUUCCCACCCCCACGAACACGAACUCCCCGCGCCACUUGAUCCCCAUUUGAUUUGUCAAAUGCUCCAGACAUCAGAGACGUUGGUAUGCAGGGGCAAAAGUACACACUCAUUCUCAGCAAAGCAAAAAAGGGUUCCCACAUCGGCCUCACCAGCAAUGACACUUGUAGCAGACAAAUGGGAUCUUGGAAUACCGGGCGGAACCUUGUACACCCUUUCCCUCUUGAAAAUACAGCAGUGAAUGCGAGAGCACAAGGAGCACUUACAUAAGUCAAAUUGACUAACAUCCUUACCUCGGGAAAUAAUAUUCGAGUUGCACCUUAUUUAUUGAUACAACUAAGCAACCUUGCUCUGAGUCCAUCAAGCCAGAUGAUCCAACUUGAUGUAGGACUCUCAGGAUACGAGGGACUUUGGGGAUGCGGUGUCUGGAUUCCGACCAUCCGCAUAUCCCUCUCCGCCUGCGACUCCGGCGGAGCUAAAAUGACAUUCACUGACACUGAGCACUCGUCGCCUGGGAGUCUCGCAAUAAAAAUAAAACGAUUCUCAAAUAAGCGCUCAGGGAGCUUGUCACAGGAGCUGUCUUUUCGCUGCCAAAACAGCUCGCAUAUCCUUUCUGCCUGC
This is a long non-coding RNA of Drosophila mauritiana, 879 nucleotides long. RefSeq lists it as uncharacterized. The record is from RefSeq and is a predicted model, not a curated record. NCBI's taxonomy places the organism in Eukaryota, Metazoa, Arthropoda, Insecta, Diptera, Drosophilidae. The transcript is spliced from 3 exons.